This 154-nucleotide unclassified non-coding RNA is filed under the name sea anemone metagenome. Its description in RNAcentral is "partial contains small subunit ribosomal RNA and internal transcribed spacer 1". It matches the Rfam family "Eukaryotic small subunit ribosomal RNA", at positions 1678 to 1825 of the family's 1831-position model. The record is from RNAcentral.
GCUACUACCGAUUGAAUGGUUUAGUGAGGACUCCUGAUUGGCGCCGCCGCCCCGGCAACGGAGCAGCGGACUGCCGAAAAGUUGUUCAAACUUGAUCAUUUAGAGGAAGUAAAAGUCGUAACAAGGUUUUCGUAGGUGAACCUGCAGAAGGACA